Molecule: long non-coding RNA, 1022 nt
Organism: Prinia subflava (tawny-flanked prinia)
Lineage: Eukaryota; Metazoa; Chordata; Aves; Passeriformes; Cisticolidae
Exons: 3
Source: RefSeq, a predicted model, not a curated record
GGCGGGGCCAGGGCGCGAUCCCGCGCGAGCCGUGCAGUCCAUAGUCUUUAUGCUCUGUUGUAUGAGAAAGAAUAGAGGAAAGAAAGAACAGAGAAUGCAUCCAUGAGAACAAGGAUUGGAUUUUCCGAAAUAAGAAGCCUUGUCACUGAACAGUAUUACAUUCACAUACAGAAUGGAUUGUUUUUAUUUCCUCCAGACGCUGAAUAGGAAGAAGGAGGCAACAUGGAGUUUGGAUUAAGGUUGCCAGAGACAGUGGAAAUCAGCGCUCAUGAGUACGAGCUGCUUGCAGGGCCCAGCGGGUUGAGGCUUUCCUGGGUAACUGCUGGCAAAUCCAUCUGCUGAGACCCAUGGCUGGGUGGAGGGCUGUCUUCAAAAACCUUCCUGUUCUUACAGCUUUUUACUGUUUUCAACAAAAACAGUUUCCAUGUACAUUCUUUAUAAAUACACAGGAUUGUACUGAAGAAUGUGCCUGAUUUGUACUUUUCAGUUCUUCUUUGCCAGAAAUGAUCCAUAUACUAAUACAUCUGAUUUGUUAAAAGGGUACUUUCUGCAUGGGUGAUUUUUCAACAGUCCUAAAUGUUUUGCUCCAGUGAACACUGUAGUGGGAAUAGAGGCUAUCUCCCAGUGAGAAAGAGAGCUGAAGCUUUGGAAGGGGCUGCACAAGGGACUCUUGGUAUGAGGUCCAUGUGCUGAAUGCACCUGACAGCAGAACUGUGAGCACUGUUUUUCUAACAGAGAGCACACCAAAGCAGGACUCUGACUGAAGCUCAGUUCUGGUUGGCUGUUUCUCAAAGAAUUCUUCCAUGGUGCAGAAUUCAAUGAUGCAUUUCCCACAGAUAUUAGACUGCUGCAAGUAACUAUGGUAUUCCAUCAUUUCUGUUUUCCUCUCUAGUAUGGAAGCUGUGAUUACUGAUUUUGUUGUAUGAGAAGUACUGCACUUUCCAAAACUUCAGUCACCUGUAUUAAAUGAAAUUAAUCUGGCUGAGAACAGAAAAUUCUGUCAGAGCUACCUGAAGUGUCAU